GAAGGUCAGGCUGAAGACCUUACCCGAUUAGCUGAGAGGUGGUGCAUGGCCGUCGUCAGUUCGUACUGUGAAGCAUCCUGUUAAGUCAGGCAACGAGCGAGACCCACGUCCCCACAGUUGCCAGCAUACCCUCCGGGGUGAUGGGUACACUGUGGAGACCGCCGCUGCUAAAGCGGAGGAAGGAGUGGGCAACGGUAGGUCAGUAUGCCCCGAAUCUCCCGGGCUACACGCGGGCUACAAUGGUUGGUACAAUGGGCAUCUACCCCGAAAGGGGAAGGAAAUCUCUUAAAGCCAAUCGUAGUUCGGAUUGAGGGCUGCAACUCGCCCUCAUGAAGCUGGAAUCCGUAGUAAUCGCGUUUCAACAGAACGCGGUGAAUACGUCCCUGCUCCUU
RNAcentral lists this ribosomal RNA (392 nucleotides) under uncultured Methanosaeta sp. RNAcentral's name for it is "bacterial SSU rRNA". It matches the Rfam family "Archaeal small subunit ribosomal RNA", at positions 949 to 1338 of the family's 1478-position model. Lineage: Archaea; Methanobacteriati; Methanobacteriota; Methanomicrobia; Methanotrichales; Methanotrichaceae. The record is from RNAcentral.